GACGAACGCUGGCGGCGUGCUUAACACAUGCAAGUCGAACGCUGAAGCUCAGCUUUUGUUGGGUGGAUGAGUGGCGAACGGGUGAGUAACACGUGAGUAACCUGCCCCCUUCUUUGGGAUAACGCCCGGAAACGGGUGCUAAUACUGGAUAUUCACUGGUCCUCGCAUGGGGGUUGGUGGAAAGGGUUUUUCUGGUGGGGGAUGGGCUCGCGGCCUAUCAGCUUGUUGGUGGGGUGAUGGCCUACCAAGGCUUUGACGGGUAGCCGGCCUGAGAGGGUGACCGGUCACAUUGGGACUGAGAUACGGCCCAGACUCCUACGGGAGGCAGCAGUGGGGAAUAUUGCACAAUGGGCGCAAGCCUGAUGCAGCGACGCCGCGUGAGGGAUGGAGGCCUUCGGGUUGUGAACCUCUUUCGCUCAUGGUCAAGCCGCAACAAUGGUUGUGGUGAGGGUAGUGGGUAAAGAGGCGCCGGCUAACUACGUG
This 483-nucleotide ribosomal RNA is filed under the name uncultured bacterium. Its description in RNAcentral is "partial 16S ribosomal RNA". It matches the Rfam family "Bacterial small subunit ribosomal RNA", at positions 28 to 507 of the family's 1533-position model. The record is from RNAcentral.